AACGCACCUUGCACUUGCAGAGUCUAUCUGCAAGUAUACCUGUUUGAGUAUCAUACACAUUUAUCCAGCCAGCCUCGGUUGAUUGGGAGGUGAGCGUCAGCGCCGCGCGGUGCUGUUGCUUGAAAUGCAGCGAGAAGCGAGGCCGCAGCAGUCGUGCCCGACGUGAGGAUAUUUGCAGCGCCGCCAGCCGGAGCAGCAAAGCAAUCACAACGGAGCGAUGCGCCGCGACCAGCAAGCUUCUUUUGUGGUGAUGGUGGUAGUAAUGGAAACAUUUGCCUGCCACACACACACACUGUAGCACCAAAUGUGAUCUCAAAUCAGGCAAGAAGACCCGCCGAACUUAA
Molecule: unclassified non-coding RNA, 344 nt
Filed under: uncultured fungus
Lineage: Eukaryota; Fungi
Description: partial internal transcribed spacer 2
Source: RNAcentral